UUCUUCUUUCUUAUCAAUAAUUUGUUUUCAAAAUUAAAGAGAUUAAAUCUUCUGCGACUCCCGAGGCUGAAUCAGAGUGAUGCACUAUAGUCAUCUCUUUCAGUGGCAGAUUUGUUGAAGGCUGGUUUUGAAUUUACCAAAGUCUGGUCCAAUCAUUAUGAUUAAUACCCAUAUUAGCUCAUUUCACUUAUGAUUCGUCUUUGGUGUAGGACUGUAGAACAUAGAUUACUGUCAGAUUUGUAUGAGACAACUAUUUAAUACUGUUGCUAUAUUCGUUCUGGUCCGCUAUUGCGAGUCAUCAAGUCACUUUCUAUUACAUUUAAUUUCUUCGAAGGAAGAUAAACACACACUGUAUAUGCACCAUGAUAAACAUAUAAACACUGUAAGAAAGACUAGAGGUGGUCUGGUAUGAGUAUACAACUUCUAUAAUACGAGGCCGGUUAAAAUAUAUUUGAGCCCGUGUAUAAGCUGGGUACCUAUAUUUGCAUUGAAACUAAAAGCCCAUAUUAAAAAGAGGUCUAAUGGUAUAAAGACUGAUAAGGUAAAAACCCAUUAUUGGAGUCUUGGAGCAUCUUUAUCCCUAGAGUCCAUUAAAGACUCUUAAUCACUUGUUUAAUAAUAAAUUUAUGUUAAGAACUUUAGUUAAGAGAUACAAAAAUUUGUGUCUUCCAUUGCAAGUUUCUUUAAGUAAAAAUUCUUAAAAAAAAAUUGAAAGAAUUUGAGAAGGAAGAAAGAACUAGAAAAGGAACAUUUGAUCUUGUGAAUACACUUUUAUUAUCCAUAUCAUUUAUACAAGUUUCUGAUAAUACAACCUUUCUCUAAUUCAACGUACAAAGGCUAUACAUAUCACCUAACUUCAAAGUUUUGCAAUUCACCAAAAAACAAUUCAACAAGACCAACGUACUGUCUUAGUUCCCCUGCACAAAGAGUUCAAACCACCACCAUUGCUAUGUUAUUAAAGCUCCACUCUCAUGUAACACUAGAUAAUUACCUAUCACGCUGCUUAAGAACAUACCUCAAUUGUGUAGCUUGAAGGGUGGAUUUGCAGUGAUAACACUUGAAGCAAGACUUCUGAAAAGGGACACCAUCAGCUGAGAGAAGCUCCAUAGCGUACACUGUCUUCUCGCACGCCCUGCAUUUCUGCGGCGUUCCUGUAAACGACAUCGUAUUUUGGCUCUCUAGCUCACUACACACCAAAACAAAACCCUGUACACAUAUCAGAACCAGAACACAAAGACAAACCCCAUCAGUCCAUCAAACAUUCUUAACUUAUCGACAUUGACAAUGCUUAGCUGUUUGCAUCAAAUCAAGAUACUCAAACAAGAUGAAGCAGUAAAAAGACAUCAAAUUUUAACCGGACUGUAACAAAUAAUCAAAGGUUCUAGCCAUCACAUGCUAUUGCUAUCGCAUAUCAGGUCAGAUACUAGGAAACGAUUGAAGAAAUACUAUACAUGAACUUGAUCGGUGGUGCUUGUGAGAUUUAUUUUCCUUCUUCUAACUUCUCCUCUCAUCUUCUUUCUCUGUUCCUCUUAACUUUUUCUUCGCCUGCCCAUUCAUAAAGACACAAACUUGAACCUACAGUCUCAAUCUAAAAAAUCAUGUCAUCCACAAACACAACGAUUCAACACUAAGUAAAAGUUUCGACCUUUCAACCGACUCAAAACUACCAAUUAAAAACUGAGUAUGAUCUUUCACUUACAAACGGAGCAAUUCAACAAAGCCCUAGAUUUUAUGGGGAAACAAAAGAGAAAGUAUUAUCAAAAAGAGAAGAGAGUACAUACUCUCGGAAGAAGAAGGAUCUUCGCUCCGUGCUCUGCUUCUCUUCUUCUCCAUUAUCCAUUUAUCCUUCCCUCCUCCUCUCUAUUGAUUCAAGGAAAACAUCAGAGAGAGCAUUGAUUCAAUUGAAACAUACAAUACCCCAAAGGGCCUCUCUGCUUGUACUUCCAAUCAUGAGUAUUAUCAAUCAAAAGUGAGGAAGAGAGAAGACGAUUCAUCUGAUGCUGGGAAGCUGACGAGAGAUUCCAGAGGAAGCAAGAGAGAACGACGUGUGUCUACAAGAGUCGCCUCUUCUGUCUCUUGAUUAAGAGACAUCUUUUAAGAUAAUUGUCUUUUUUUUUUUUAAUUUUAAUAAUAACUAAGAGACGGGGUAAGAGGCCCGUUAAUGAUGCUCUUACUACCUAAAAAUAUCAGGUGACCUUUUCUAAAGGUUCAUUUGCUUAUAUAUUCUUUUUACUCCGGACAAGUUAAUUUUCCUGCAAAUUAUAAAGAAUUUCAAGACUUAAAUUGUACAAAUAACUAUCAGUAAAAUAAAAAUUCAUACUAAUUUUCUGACAUACGUGCACGCAAAAUAAAGUUCUAGACUUGCAAAGCAAUGUGAUAAAUGGAAAUCUUUCACAUAACCAAAACAACUAUAUAUCUCGUUUAGGUGCUCUAGUAUAUAUAACAUGAUUUCACAGGACAUGUGGAACGAGGAUUUCAAUCCAGUUAACCAUAUAACUACUAUCCAACCAAAAAUCACGCCAAUGAUAUUGAGUGCAUUCUUAUAUCUAUCAACCGAUUAAAUAACUAAAGAUAAGCAAACACACAUCUCAUGCUGUCUUUGUUUUUUUUUAUGUCUCAUCCCUUUUCAAAGUUCAUGAAUAACACUAGCUUAUAAUAUACGGAUAUUGAAAUCCUCUCUCCUCUCUUUCACAGAGGUUUCUCUCUAUCGUCCUUGUUCUCUAAUUAGAUCUUUCACAAGGAAUAGAGUUUUGAGAGAUUUCUGCCUGGUUUUCGUUUCCGGUGACGCAUCUUCUCCCUCGGUGGUCGGUCGGCUCUGUUUCCGGGUAGAGGUGGCUCGUUCAGCACCAGCUUCGCCGGCUCUGUUUCCGGGAAUAGAUGAUUCUAUUUCAUCGUCUUCGCCGGUUUUUCACCGGAGUUCUUCCGGUUUCGUUUGAUUGUUGCCUCCUGUUCUUCGAUCUACCACCGACUCUCGAUUUGAUCCUCUGUCGCAGUGAUUAGAUUGAUUGAAGACGGCGGUUAUCUUUCAUGAAGUGAUGAUCCGGUUGUGUCUUGGCCAUCUGAAGACUGCUCAGUUGGUCUUUCACUGAUUUAUCUCCGCCGAUGGCGGAGUUUCGGCGUGGCUUCCGGAGGAGGUGAAGACUCUCUCUUGACGCGUGUUCUCAGAAUCGUUCGUCGAUUGUACACGUGAUGGACGGAUGUUGCUUUGCUUCCUCGACGGUGUAAUCGCCUACGGUUUCCAGAGAUGAGUUGCAUGUUCCCUCCGGCGAUGGAGGAAGGAAAAGGGAUUUGGCGACACGUGUGCCUCGCAGUUGAGGUCUCAACACGUGUGCCGUGUGUUGGCGUUUUGGGGCGGUGGCCUCUUGUUUGGGUUUUUUUGGGCCGAGAUUUUGGAGGUUACUUUGGAUGGGUGUUAGGUUUUGGGCCUGUCUUGGGCUUCCGUUGUAAUGGUUUCGGGCUUGGUCCAGUUUGGACUUUGUUUCUUAUAAUAAUAGAUGAAAAAAAAAAAAACACUAGCUUAUAAUAUAAGAAACUCUCUAUAAUUGAAGGUUUCUUUUUUUUUUUUUUUGCUUUAUUAUUUGGUUAAUUAUUGCGUAGGUAUUAUUUUGUAAGAAGAAAAGCAAGGUCUGCUUAUCUGUUGCACGUGGCAUAUAAGGACAACCACAGAUCACGUUGCUUCGUUAGCUACUGUACAAAAAGCUGGAGAGCAGUCACGUUCGUUCGCCUACUUUCGUUGAAUCUAAAAUUAUUCACGUCAACGCUAUUCAUAUAUGCUUUCAUUUAGAUGCCAUCUCCACCUUUCUCUAUGCAUUUUUACACUUUGAAAACCUAAAAUAAUGGAGUUUCCAUUUUCGUAGCAAUAUGUUUUGCAGAAUGUGCUACAUGCUUCAU
Molecule: long non-coding RNA, 3891 nt
Filed under: Brassica napus (rape)
Lineage: Eukaryota; Viridiplantae; Streptophyta; Magnoliopsida; Brassicales; Brassicaceae
Description: long non-coding RNA (BNAP_LNC009633)
Source: RNAcentral